UGAGAUGUUGAGAUGCCUGACUGCUAGGAGCUGAGCAGGCUACCUAAAGUGGAGCAGGGCUGGGGAAAGGCUAGAGGAGCUGGGGAGCUCCAGCCUGAGAAACCCCCAGGCUGCAGGCCUUGAUGAAGCCCUAGGAAAAGGGUACUGGUGUUGCAGAGGGCAGCCCAAGGGUAGGCAGAAGCAGCAGGUCUAGACCCUCCUUGCCAAUGAUAUGGGGCAAUUAUACUGCAGUCUGCCCCAGGGAGCAGGUGUUAGAGGGUGAUUGUCAGUUGCCAAGACUGAGGUGAGGUGGGGAUAGAGGGUAAGAGUUCCCUGGGGGGCAGGGAGACCCAGAUCUGUAGGGGUACUGCCAGGGGGCAGCACCCCAGUGUGAAAGGGGCACUGGGGUCUGGGAGGGACACAGGGGCCAGCGGCAAGUGGGACACCAGCCUGUGGAGGGCACUCUGGAGGCUGGAAACACUAAUUCCCUGGAUGACCAGCAGGAGGUGCUGCAGGGGUCACCUGUCCAAGAGGUGGGUUUCGGGCAGCUGUGGUGCCAGACUACAAACUACUCAUCCCUCCUGGCGAAAGGGCAGGACCAUAGGUGCAAGAGUCAAGUACGUCCUACAUGAGCCAGCAGCACGGCCAGCAUCCUGUGUUCAAAAUUGUGAGACUGGGGUAAAAGGUCAGGAGACUGGCAUAAGAAUCACGAGACUGGCUUUAACAUGGGGAGAUGGGUGUAAAAAUGAUGCAACUGGCAUGUAAAGAUUGGCCUGGAAGUCAUGAGAUCGUUGUAAAAUCGUGAGGUUUGAAAAUAUCAUGGGGUUUUCUUGGCUCCCUGGUUUCUGAGCCUUUCUGGGUCCCGUUACUCCCAUUUUCUGCCCUUUCGUGAUUUCAAUAACAGCUGAGGUUUGCCUGUCACCCGUGACUCCAGAAGCUGGUGCCUGAUGGAACAAAGUCACAUCGAAUCUCAUGAUACACUUGGGAUCGCUGGAACGCUGCGGCCAAGGAAGGAGGAGCUGGCAGCCCUGGGAUCACAGCUCCUUUCUGCUUUUCUUUACCAGUCACCUACACAGUGCUUUGCAAAAUCCGGGAGGAGGAUCUCACCAUCCGCAAUACAUGAGACUCCCCUCUCCCUGGGCUCAGCCUGCUGGGGGUGGGGGCUACGGUCCCUGUUCAGCCCCACCUCUUGUCUGGCUUGAGGACCGGGUCCUCCCAGUGUAAUGGUCUCUUGCAGGAGGCUAAAUCUGAGCUGUCUGCAUGGUCCAUGCUGUGGGGAGGGAUGACCCCUCCUCCCCAAAAGCAACAUGCAGGAGCCCAGGUGCACAUGUGUAGCAGAGAUGUCUGGCUCAUCUGCUUAAUUAGCAGUUCAUUGACUGUGGCGGGGGGGGGGGGGGGAGGGUGCGGGGGAGGUGCACCGGGCAUCACUCUUCCUGAAGAGCAGCUUGGGGAGCCAGCAGCUCGCCCUGUUUGGAUCAGGGCCGGGGCGAGGAUCUGAUCCCCCGCCCAGUGCCUAGGGAGAGGGUGGGCAUCGGCUGGAGGGGGGGUCUCAGGAGAGCACUGGGCCCCAUGUGCUGCGUAGCUGACUCAGUGACCCACAACCAUGGAGUCGGCGGGGGUGGGGGUCGCGAGAGACGGUGCCCAAUAAGCCGCCCUGAAGAUGGGCCCCAGCCCCGGAUCUGGACCCAAACUGCCCCAUCCUUGAGGGCUUCCAGCUCUGGUCUGUUUGAAGGAGGGGCCCUGAGCUGCCGUCUGCGCUAGGGGGAGGCGCCGGGUGAGCGGCGCUGGAGGCUGGCGCCUUCUCUCCAUCUACAGAACAGGGCCAGUACCGCCAGUGCCAAAGCACUCUCCCCCUGCGAUGCCAGGGGGACCUCCCAUGCCCAAGGGGACAUGAGAGUGGCUCAGGCUCCAUGUCUCAGCCCGUCCUUGGCAGCUGCCCAUGUGGUGCCUUUUGGGAGGUGGAAACAUGGGCACUAGGUGCUGGGCUGAGACCCCCUGACUCAUUACACACCACGGUGGAAGGGGUGGUUAAAUGCAAAGGCUGCCAAUCCCUGAGGGUCACGUGGCUCCCAGUCCCCC
Molecule: long non-coding RNA, 2058 nt
Organism: Dermochelys coriacea (leatherback sea turtle)
Lineage: Eukaryota; Metazoa; Chordata; Testudines; Dermochelyidae
Exons: 2
Source: RefSeq, a predicted model, not a curated record